CAAAAUCAACCAAUAAAACAGGGUUUGGAAACUUGAUGACAAAGUGCUUACUUUUGCCCUAUAAGACUGCAGCCAGUAGUUGUGAAAGAAACAAAAAAGUGAGACAGUUGUAAAACUGUCAUCCUUUCAUUCGUUCACAGUUCCACAUUUUGGACUCAAAGAAGUCAGAGAUGCAACCAUGUCUUUUGUUGUGAUGGUGGCACUGCUGUUCUGUUCUGAGACACUGGAUAGGAAACUUUCUAAUUAAACGGUCACAUCCUGUGUUUGGAGAGGAGGAUAAUAUAACUCAUGAUCUUGUGGAGGCUGACUUUGAUAUUAGUGACUGGACUGCAAUUGCAAAUCUGAGCGACAUGUUCAUGGAAACUGGAGACUAUUAUGAUUAUGGUGACUGGCAGUGGAAAGCAGGGUCGUGGGGGCAGCGGCCUAAGCAGAGAAGCCCAGACCUCCCUCUCCCCAGCCACCUCCUCCAGCUUAUCCGGGGAACAUCAAGGCGUUCCCAGGCCAUCAAACAACAUUUGGAUCAUUAGACAUCAUUGAUCUGCAUGUGUGAAAAAGAACUAAAGGACCAGUAAAUUAUUAAACAAUGUAUAAGUGACUAUUCAGUGAAACGUAACUUGUUAUUUUUGGUACAGCUUUAGUGUGUUCAGUAUAUGGUGCUUUAUUACAGACCUUAAAACAUAUACAGUGACAAUUACAUUGUGAAUCAAAUGGUAUCUACAUCCAGUGAGAG
Long non-coding RNA from Oreochromis aureus, 730 nucleotides. The record is from Ensembl. Lineage: Eukaryota; Metazoa; Chordata; Actinopteri; Cichliformes; Cichlidae.